GAUGAACGCUAGCUACAGGCUUAACACAUGCAAGUCGAGGGGCAGCAUGGUCUUAGCUUGCUAAGGCCGAUGGCGACCGGCGCACGGGUGAGUAACACGUAUCCAACCUGCCGUCUACUCUUGGACAGCCUUCUGAAAGGAAGAUUAAUACAAGAUGGCAUCAUGAGUCCGCAUGUUCACAUGAUUAAAGGUAUUCCGGUAGACGAUGGGGAUGCGUUCCAUUAGAUAGUAGGCGGGGUAACGGCCCACCUAGUCUUCGAUGGAUAGGGGUUCUGAGAGGAAGGUCCCCCACAUCGGAACUGAGACACGGUCCAAACUCCUACGGGAGGCAGCAGUGAGGAAUAUUGGUCAAUGGCGAGAGCCUGAACCAGCCAAGUAGCGUGAAGGAUGACUGCCCUAUGGUUGUAAACUUCUUUUAUAAAGGUAAUAAAGUCGGGUAUGGAUACCGUUUGCAUGUACUUAUGAAUAAGGAUCGGCUAACU
This 482-nucleotide ribosomal RNA is filed under the name uncultured bacterium. RNAcentral's name for it is "bacterial SSU rRNA". It matches the Rfam family "Bacterial small subunit ribosomal RNA", at positions 28 to 502 of the family's 1533-position model. The record is from RNAcentral.